This 452-nucleotide ribosomal RNA is filed under the name uncultured organism. RNAcentral describes it as "partial 16S ribosomal RNA". It matches the Rfam family "Bacterial small subunit ribosomal RNA", at positions 331 to 799 of the family's 1533-position model. The record is from RNAcentral.
GUACACUCCUGCGGGAGGCAGCAGUGGGGAAUAUUGGACAAUGGGCGCAAGCCUGAUCCAGCCAUGCCGCGUGAGUGAUGAAGGCCCUAGGGUUGUAAAGCUCUUUCACCGGAGAAGAUAAUGACGGUAUCCGGAGAAGAAGCUCCGGCUAACUUCGUGCCAGCAGCCGCGGUAACACGAAGGGGGCUAGCGUUGUUCGGAAUUACUGGGCGUAAAGCGCACGUAGGCGGAUCGAUCAGUCAGGGGUGAAAUCCCAGGGCUCAACCCUGGAACUGCCUUUGAUACUGUCGGUCUGGAGUAUGGAAGAGGUGAGUGGAAUUCCGAGUGUAGAGGUGAAAUUCGUAGAUAUUCGGAGGAACACCAGUGGCGAAGGCGGCUCACUGGUCCAUUACUGACGCUGAGGUGCGAAAGCGUGGGGAGCAAACAGGAUUAGAAACCCGAGUAGUCCCAUG